Triplophysa dalaica is the source of this 534-nucleotide long non-coding RNA. RefSeq lists it as uncharacterized. The transcript is spliced from 3 exons. The record is from RefSeq and is a predicted model, not a curated record. Lineage: Eukaryota; Metazoa; Chordata; Actinopteri; Cypriniformes; Nemacheilidae.
GUUGUAUAAAGACAGAUGGUAAAUAUAAAAGCCCCAAUUUAAACUUUCAAACAAUCAACUCUGAAACCAUGAAGACAACUUGUGUGUAUCUGCUCCUCGGGCUGGUGCUGAUGGGGAUCUGGGAUUCUGAAGCUGAGUCUCAUGCGCCUCCAAUCCCUGCUAUGUGCUGCUUUUCCUUCAUUGGGUUUGCAAUUCCAGCCAAUAAAAUUAAAAGUGCUGUCGAAACAAGCAAAUCUUGUGUAAACAAAGCUAUUGUGGUCACCACUGAGAAGGGCAACAUGUUUUGUGUGAAACCAGAUGAGUCUUGGUUGCAAAGCAUUAAAAAAGAUUCAUAAAUGUUAAAUUUGCAUUUGGAACUUCUUGAAUUUCAUUUUUUUAAUAGUCGCUUUUUACUGUACUUGCCCUUUUAUUAAAAAAUAUACUUUACAAAGUGAUGAAAUAAAUGAUGCAUUGAUGCAAAUGAUGCAAAUUCUACAUGCUUGCUGAAAUUGAUAAUGAAUCAUAUAAAUGAAUAAUAAAAACAGAAGCUUAAAA